GACAUCAGAUCAGGCUACACUACCCGCUGAAUUUAAGCAUAUUAAUA
RNAcentral lists this ribosomal RNA (47 nucleotides) under Lytocarpia brevirostris. RNAcentral describes it as "partial 28S ribosomal RNA". The record is from RNAcentral. Lineage: Eukaryota; Metazoa; Cnidaria; Hydrozoa; Leptothecata; Aglaopheniidae.